AUUGAACGCUGGCGGCAUGCCUUACACAUGCAAGUCGAACGGUAACAGGUCUUCGGAUGCUGACGAGUGGCGAACGGGUGAGUAAUACAUCGGAACGUGCCUAGUAGUGGGGGAUAACUACUCGAAAGAGUGGCUAAUACCGCAUGAGAUCUACGGAUGAAAGCAGGGAAUCGCAAGACCUUGUGCUACUAGAGCGGCCGAUGGCAGAUUAGGUAGUUGGUGGGAUAAAAGCUUACCAAGCCGACGAUCUGCAGCUGGUCUGAGAGGACGAUCAGGCACACUGGGACUGAGACACGGCCCAGACUCCUACGGGAGGCAGCAGUGGGGAAUUUUGGACAAUGGGCGCAAGCCUGAUCCAGCAAUGCCGCGUGCAGGAUGAAGGCCUUCGGGUUGUAAACUGCUUUUGUACGGAACGAAAAGCCCCGGGUUAAUACCCUGGGGUCAUGACGGUACCGUAAGAAUAAGCACCGGCUAACUACGUGCCAGCAGCCGCCGUAA
RNAcentral lists this ribosomal RNA (498 nucleotides) under uncultured bacterium. RNAcentral's name for it is "partial 16S ribosomal RNA". It matches the Rfam family "Bacterial small subunit ribosomal RNA", at positions 30 to 523 of the family's 1533-position model. The record is from RNAcentral.